UGCAGUCGAGCGGGGGAGGUUGCUUCGGUAACUAACCUAGCGGCGGACGGGUGAGUAAUGCUUAAGAAUCUGCCUAUUAGUGGGGGACAACAUCUCGAAAGGGAUGCUAAUACCGCAUACGUCCUACGGGAGAAAGCAGGGGACCUUCGGGCCUUGCGCUAAUAGAUGAGCCUAAGUCGGAUUAGCUAGUUGGUGGGGUAAAGGCCUACCAAGGCGACGAUCUGUAGCGGGUCUGAGAGGAUGAUCCGCCACACUGGGACUGAGACACGGCCCAGACUCCUACGGGAGGCAGCAGUGGGGAAUAUUGGACAAUGGGGGGAACCCUGAUCCAGCCAUGCCGCGUGUGUGAAGAAGGCCUUUUGGUUGUAAAGCACUUUAAGCGAGGAGGAGGCUACUGGUAUUAAUACUACCGGAUAGUGGACGUUACUCGCAGAAUAAGCACCGGCUAACUCUGUGCCAGCAGCCGCGGUAAUACAGAGGGUGCGAGCGUUAAUCGGAUUUACUGGGCGUAAAGCGUGCGUAAGCGGCUUUUUAAGUCGGAUGUGAAAUCCCUGAGCUUAACUUAGGAAUUGCAUUCGAUACUGGGAGGCUAGGGUAUGGGAGAGGAUGGUAGAAUUCCAGGUGUAGCGGUGAUAUGCGUAGAGAUCUGGAGGAAUACCGAUGGCGAAGGCAGCCAUCUGGCCUAAUACUGACGCUGAGGUACGAAAGCAUGGGGAGCAAACAGGAUUAGAUACCCUGGUAGUCCAUGCCGUAAACGAUGUCUACUAGCCGUUGGGGCCUUUUGAGGCUUAGUGGCGCAGCUAACGCGAUAAGUAGACCGCCCUGGGGAGUACAGUCGCAAGACUAAAACUCAAAUGAAUUGACGGGGGCCCGGCACAGCGUGGAACAUGUGGUUUAAUCNAUGCAACGCGAAGACCCUUACUGGG
Molecule: ribosomal RNA, 926 nt
Filed under: proteobacterium enrichment culture clone CTBE CDB1009G11
Lineage: Bacteria; Pseudomonadati; Pseudomonadota
Description: bacterial SSU rRNA
Rfam family: Bacterial small subunit ribosomal RNA
Source: RNAcentral